CCUACGGGUGGCUGCAGUGGGGAAUAUUGGGCAAUGGAGGCAACUCUUACCCAGCAAUGCCGCGUGAAUGAAGAAGGUCUUCGGAUUGUAAAGUUCUUUAAUUGGGGACGAAAAAAAUGACGGUACCCAAGGAAUAAGCCCCGGCUAACUACGUGCCAGCAGCCGCGGUAAUACGGAGGGUGCGAGCGUUAAUCGGAAUUACUGGGCGUAAAGCGCUCGUAGGCGGUAUGUCAAGUCAAGGGUGAAAUCCCCGCGCUCAACGUGGGAACUGCCUUUGAAACUGGCAAACUGGAGUGUGUGAGAGGAUAGUGGAAUUCCAGGUGUAGGAGUGAAAUCCGUAGAUAUCUGGAGGAACAUCAGUGGCGAAGGCGACUAUCUGGCACAUAACUGACGCUGAGGAGCGAAAGCGUGGGUAGCAAACAGGAUUAGAUACCCUGGUAGUC
RNAcentral lists this ribosomal RNA (443 nucleotides) under uncultured bacterium. RNAcentral describes it as "partial 16S ribosomal RNA". It matches the Rfam family "Bacterial small subunit ribosomal RNA", at positions 338 to 795 of the family's 1533-position model. The record is from RNAcentral.